RNAcentral lists this transfer RNA (86 nucleotides) under Rickettsiales endosymbiont of Peranema trichophorum. Its description in RNAcentral is "tRNA-Leu". It matches the Rfam family "tRNA". Rfam says of the family: Transfer RNA (tRNA) molecules are approximately 80 nucleotides in length. The record is from RNAcentral. Lineage: Bacteria; Pseudomonadati; Pseudomonadota; Alphaproteobacteria; Rickettsiales.
GCCCGUGUGAUGGAAUGGUAGACAUAACGGACUUAAAAUCCGUGGGGAGCAAUCCCUUGCCGGUUCAAGUCCGGCCACGGGUACCA